CGCGUAGGCGGUUUGGUAAGUCAGAUGUGAAAGCCCUGGGCUCAACCUGGGAAUUGCAUUUGAUACUGUCAGACUAGAGUAUGGUAGAGGGAGGUGGAAUUCCAGGUGUAGCGGUGAAAUGCGUAGAUAUCUGGAGGAACAUCAGUGGCGAAGGCGACUUCCUGGACCAAUACUGACGCUGAGGUGCGAAAGCGUGGGUAGCAAACA
Molecule: ribosomal RNA, 207 nt
Filed under: uncultured bacterium
Lineage: Bacteria
Description: partial 16S ribosomal RNA
Rfam family: Bacterial small subunit ribosomal RNA
Source: RNAcentral